GGGGGUCUUACUUUGCAGCAGCCCUGUGCUUUUCUCUGAGCCCAAACUCUCUUUGUUUUUUGCACAGAAGCUGCGUUUUCCACCCCAGCGCCCUGCUGCCCUAGGCAGGCAGCUGGUGCUCAGCUUGUGGCAAGGGGACCUUGAGGCUGGUGGUGGGGGUGACCCUGAUGGGUGGCACUCCUGGUCCCCAGUCACAUCAGGACUUUUAUUUCUUUUUGAGGCACUGCUGGAAGCAGGCAGAUUGUUCCUGUGUACCCCCAGCAACCUGUGGACGGGGUGGAGAAGUGUCCCUACGCAAUGUCCCUUGGGGCAGUGCCACCGGUGUGGAAUGGGACUGGUGGCAGAGCCUUGGUGCCACUGAAAGAAGUGGCUGCAGAGGUGGGAUUUUAACAGCACUUAACAUCUCCACCCCCAGCUGGAGAAGAGAAGCGCAUCCACCUCGGCAGCUUUAUCCUUGACCCAAGAGUACCAAGUACCAACGCUACCAAGAGCACCACAACCAAAACACAUCUCCUGUCCCACCUGAUGCCAGCACCACCCCCCGAAGCCCCCGGUGUGCCCGCUGACCUGCUGUGGUGGUGUC
Molecule: long non-coding RNA, 583 nt
Organism: Oxyura jamaicensis (ruddy duck)
Lineage: Eukaryota; Metazoa; Chordata; Aves; Anseriformes; Anatidae
Exons: 3
Source: RefSeq, a predicted model, not a curated record